CAGGGAUUGCCUCAGUAACGGCGAGUGAAGCGGCAAAAGCUCAAAUUUGAAAUCUAGCACUUUCAGUGUUCGAGUUGUAAUUUGAAGAAGGUAACUUUGGUUUUGGCUCUUGUCUAUGUUCCUUGGAACAGGACGUCACAGAGGGUGAGAAUCCCGUGCGAUGAGAUGCCCAAUUCCAUGUAAAGUGCUUUCGAAGAGUCGAGUUGUUUGGGAAUGCAGCUCUAAGUGGGUGGUAAAUUCCAUCUAAAGCUAAAUAUUGGCGAGAGACCGAUAGCGAACAAGUACAGUGAUGGAAAGAUGAAAAGAACUUUGAAAAGAGAGUGAAAAAGUACGUGAAAUUGUUGAAAGGGAAGGGCUUGAGAUCAGACUUGGUAUUUUGCGUUCCCUUCCUUUUUGGUUGGGUUCCUCGCAGUUUACUGGGCCAGCAUCGGUUUGGAUGGUAGGAUAAUGACAUUGGAAUGUAGCUUUACUUCGGUGAAGUGUUAUAGACUUUGUUGAUACUGCCUAUCUAGACCGAGGACUGCGUCUUUGACUAGGAUGCUGGCGUAAUGAUCUUAAGCCGCCCGUCUUGAAACACGGACCUCCUGUGUGAGUGA
This 596-nucleotide ribosomal RNA is filed under the name Dujonia zeylanoides. RNAcentral's name for it is "eukaryotic LSU rRNA". It matches the Rfam family "Eukaryotic large subunit ribosomal RNA", at positions 69 to 664 of the family's 3401-position model. The record is from RNAcentral. Lineage: Eukaryota; Fungi; Ascomycota; Pichiomycetes; Serinales; Debaryomycetaceae.